Molecule: non-coding RNA, 26 nt
Filed under: Cricetulus griseus (Chinese hamster)
Lineage: Eukaryota; Metazoa; Chordata; Mammalia; Rodentia; Cricetidae
Source: RNAcentral
GAAGGGAUGAACUUGAGAGCCAGGGC